Eublepharis macularius is the source of this 1908-nucleotide non-coding RNA. The record is from the annotation of a RefSeq genome assembly. Lineage: Eukaryota; Metazoa; Chordata; Lepidosauria; Squamata; Eublepharidae.
AUGGCACGAGGUGUCCUCUCGCAGGUGGUUCUGACCCAACCAGAUCAUGUGGUGAAAAAACCAGGAGAAUCCCAUACUCUCUCCUGUGCUGUUGCUGGUUUUAGUGCUACCAGUACCUGGAUGAGCUGGAUCAUGCAGAAACCUGGCAAAGGAUUGGAAUGGCUGGUUUGGUGCUAUAGUUCUGGAGGGAAUUACUUUUCUUCUGCAAUCAAAGGGCGAUUCAAAACCUUAAAGGACAGUUCCAACUUCUAUCUGCAAAUGGAUAGCCUGACAGUGGAGGACACGGCUGUGUAUUACUGCACCAGAGAUCUAGAAACCCAAACCAGAGCUUUAUUUGACUACUGGGGACAAGGAACUCUCCUCACAGUUACAACAGCUCCUCAAAGUGCCCCCUUUCUUAUCCCCCUCAUUCCAUCAAGUAUCACAGACAGUGAAGAGAUCGCCGUUGGAUGUUUGGCCAAGGAUUUCCUACCCAACUCUCUCAUCCUCUCUUGGCAAAAGCCAAACAAUGAGAGCCUCGAGGCAGCCAAGAUCAGGCAAUUUCCUUCUAUUUUCAACUCUGUUGGGGCUUUUACUGCAAGCUCGGAGGCAACCAUCCCUGCUAGGCAGUGGCAGGCAUUCGAACCCUUCUACUGCAAGGCAGAACUUGCUUCGGAAACCAGAGUAGCUCGACUCGUUCAUCAAACACCAAUCGCAUGCCUUCCACCUGAGAUUACUAUUCGCGUGCCUCCUCUAGACGACUUUCGUGGUGCCUUCCUAAACGCCACUAUUCUCUGCAAGGCUGAUCACCUACAUACUCGGCACACUGCUAUUAAGUGGCUGAAGGAUGGGAAAGUGCUUACUUCUGGCUUCACUACCACUACAUCAACCAGGCGAGGCCGUGAUGGUUAUACCAUCAUCAGCGAGCUCACGGUCACCAAGAAGGACUGGUUUGCUGAGAAGAUAUUUUCCUGCCAGGUGCAAAAUGAGAAGAUUAAUGAGACAAGGAAUGUCAGCAAACCCUCCGCUUGUGAAGGUUGCGAUUGUAAUGUGCCGAUCCAUGUGGAGACCAUCCCCCCACCCUUCUCUGAUAUUUACCUGACCAAAUCAGCCAGGCUGACCUGCAGAAUCUCCAACAUACCCUACAGCCAGGAUCUUGCAGAACUGAACGUCACCUGGACAAGAGCAUCUGACAACAAACCAUUGGAGACCGUAAUUGGACAAGCUAAAGAGCAAGAAAACAGAGAAAUGUUAUUCGUGGAUGCAACGGUCACCCUUUGCCCAGAUGAAUGGGAGAAUGGGUCCACCUACAAGUGCAAAGUUACUCUUCCCCUAAUGGCCAAGGCUGAAGUGAAAUCUUUGAAGAAGCAGAAUGGUGGCAGUCGCAGGGCUCCGUCCGUCUAUGUCCUCCCCCCGCCCCCGGAACAACUGGCUUUGAAGGGAAUAGCCACCGUCACUUGCCUGCUGAAAAGUUUCUACCCCAGCGACUUCUUUGUGAAAUGGCUGCAGAAUGGUGAGCCUGUGGGAGUUUCGGAAUACUACACUAGCAACCCCAUACAGGACUCCAGGACCCCCAAGAGAUACUUCAGCUACAGCAUGUUGAAUGUCGAUGAGCAGGACUGGAGUUCUGGAGUCACCUACACAUGUGUGGUGGGACAUGAGGCAUUUCCUGUGCAGACAAUUCAGAAGACCAUAGACAAGGACACGGCUUACCUUGAUUGGACUGUAUUCAUUGAUGAAGAUGAAGGACUCCUAAACAUCUCGUCAACUCUUUCCACUUUCAUCGUCCUCUUCCUUGUGAGUCUUUUCUACAGCGGCGCCGUGACUGUCAUCAAGACUACUGGAGUAGCUGACAGAUCAACAGGUCGUCUAACUCAGCGUUCUCCAUCAAUAGCAAACCGGAUGUCCCAUUCCAGCUCCAUCAUAUAA